UCCUCCGAUUCCUCCUUAACAAGGAGUUGGCAGAACAUUAUUUAGGAGCAUCUUGAGGAGUCGCCUUUGUCCUGGUCUUAUCGGGUGUCCUCUGGUUCUCCCUGAUCCUCUGCAAUGUCCUUCACAAACUGGGUCCCAUGCUAGCCCUGUCUGAAUGACCAUUUCUCUUUGCCUGCUUCUGUCUGCAACUGGCCAAUGUUUCAGAGUUCAGACUUUAAUUGCAGAUUUGUAUCAACUAUAUUUCUAUAGCUCUAGCUAUUGCUUAGAUUGGCAUAAAGGAAGAACUUCAGGAAAUUUGCUUCCUUCAUUUUCCUUGUGUUUUCAACUCAAUGCAUUCCUACAUCAGCAAAUCCACUUAAUACCUUGGUCAGCUUUGGUUGCAGUGUGAUGUGGUGCAAAUAGAAGAUUUUAACAUUUGGCCAUGUCAUUGGCAUUCCACUUCUAAGCCACAGAAUAAAGAAAAUAGUAUGAGUGAUUAUUCUCAAUUCUCCCAAGGAUGAUAUAUUAACGAAUAACAUUUUAGAUACCAAGGAGAGACAUUAAUUUAUUACGUACAAUAAUGACUUAGGAGGGCAUUAGAGUUUAAUCAUCUCUUGGACCUUGUUGAGGACAGCUCUAAAGGCCCACCCUUGGCCAGCAAGUUCUCUGAACUGCUUACUAACCAGCCUUCUGGGAUGUUGCCCCAUGGUUAUUAUGGAAUUGGUUUUAGAACUGCACCAAUGGGUCCGUUUGAACAUCACUUCAUCGCUCAGUCUUCUCAUGGCUGACAUGGACUUGAUCCCCAGCACUUCAUCUUCUGAGUCAACUGUCUUGAUGUCAUUUUUAGUUAACUUCCUGCUUCUGACUGUUGGCUUCAUUUUUUAUUGCCAGUAAACCCUUUUGCCAUUCAAGGUUAAUAAUGAGUAGUGAUCUUCGUCUUUCACAUAUCUCUGUGUUGGUGUCGCAAUCCAAUGUACACAUCAGGAUAGAUGCGGAGAGGGCUGAUGGCCACUCUGAGUGUAUUAUAACCAGCAUUUCAAUAUAUACAUAGCUUACAGCUGUUAAACAUACACAGGUGUUCUGGAUGAAGUAAUUAGCAAAUGCCAAGAAUUCUUAGUGAUUUCUCAAGGAGCCCUCUCUUGGCCUCUGUUUUGAUAUUAUCAUGUUAUUGCUGUGCUCGUAUAUUUUUGUCUCGGGGCAGGCAAGGUCUCUUAGGCAACGGCCCCUCCUGCUCCUGAUAUCGAUGUCGUUUCUCCAUCUGUGCCCCGGGUUGGCCGCCGCCUGUCUUAGGUUGCCUCCCCCUGGAGGUCUUACCCGUCAUUGGCUAACCAGCCUUCUCACCUCCGGGUCACAGUUUGUUGGCAAGCUUUUUCCAGUGAUUAUUAACCCUUCCUGUGUCAGGGGCGGCUACACUCUGAACCCUUCCAUAACUAUGUGCUAAAACUUGUGGGGAGCUCAUGCCAAGUGUGGCUCUGACUGAGGGUUGGUCUGACCUAGGAAAGUCUUCUCGACGCAGGCAGAGGCUCAGAGACUACUGCUCUAAGUUACUUGCUAUAAGAGAUGAGUGCCUAGCUUGCUUUUAGAAAACUUUUUUUCUUUCUAGUCUUUAUAAAUCCCUUUUUGUUAGGUCUUCACUUUUACACGCGUCGUACCCUUCAUUCUCACAAAAUAGUCUGAGGAAGAAAAUAUCAAUUCCUUUUUAAAGAAGAUGAAACCAAAUGUCCAUGGUUAAGAAGUGUUAAGUCAUUUUUCGUAGACCUUCAGCUUUCCCAUAUAAUUUGUCAUCACAUCCUGUCAACUCUGCCUCUACAGUGAUUCUCCAUUUUCUCCCUUCAUUUCUGUUCUCACUGAAAAGGCUCCAGAGAGGACCUCAUUAACUCUCUUCUGGAGGACUUUAACAGCUUCCUAACUGGCAUCACAACCCUAGUCUCUCCGUCUUCCCCGUAUUCCUACAUCCUCUUGCCAGAGGUAUUUUUCUCAAAUACAGGAUUCCUCAUGCCAAUUUACUGCUCUAAAGCCUCCUCCUCCUCCCGUCCUUCAGAAACCUUAGUGUGUGAUUCAGGGCCUUCACCAGGCAGGUCCAAACCAACCUUUCUAGGCUUUUUCUCGCAUCACGUCUUCAGGUGUUUUACACCACAGCUGAACCACACUCCUACUGUUUGCAGAACAAGUCCUCUGACUUCCAGGCUCGGCACUUCCCUACAGUUUCUCUUGCCUGGUCUACAGGGGUGAGUGAUCUUGGAAGGACAAGAUGGAAGAUUCUGUGACAACAAGAUCGUGCUGCUCACUUGCUUCAAAGACUAUGUAUGUGGAGGGUGUUUUUCUUCCUGUUAACACAUCCUAGAGCUCCUUGCUAUCACUGGAGACUGAUACCGCCAUUUUAAUCUAUACAAGUGCAACAAGUGUUUCUGCAGCACCAAGGUUCACUAGAGUCACAAAACCAGCUCGGCCUCCCCAGAUUCCUGGAAGUCCAGCUCUCCAUCAGUACUUUCUGCUCUGCAAAAGAUCUGGAAAGGACACACCCACACCCUCUUGGAGGCGAUGUGUCUCCCUUGCUGGGCUGCUCCUCUGCUGCUUGGGCCUGGGUGCUGCUGCUCCCUCCGCUGGUAUUUCCCACAUGGGAAAUAUAACUAACGCCACUUCCAGGCAAUUUCCAC
Molecule: long non-coding RNA, 2636 nt
Filed under: Equus caballus (horse)
Lineage: Eukaryota; Metazoa; Chordata; Mammalia; Perissodactyla; Equidae
Description: lncRNA (ENSECAG00000051684.1)
Source: RNAcentral